GGAUAACUUACCCUUUAGGACUGGGAUAACUCUGGGAAACUGGGGAUAAUACUGGAUAGGCAAUUUUUCCUGUAAUGGUUUAUUGUUUAAAUGUUUUUUCGCCUAAGGAUGGGUCUGCGGCCGAUUAGGUAGUUGGUUAGGUAACGGCUUACCAAGCCAUUGAUCGGUACGGGUUGUGAGAGCAAGAGCCCGGAGAUGGAACCUGAGACAAGGUUCCAGGCCCUACGGGGUGCAGCAGGCGCGAAACCUCCGCAAUGUGAGAAAUCGCGACGGGGGGAUCCCAAGUGCCAUUCUUAACGGGAUGGCUUUUCAUUAGUGUAAAGAGCUUUUGGAAUAAGAGCUGGGCAAGACCGGUGCCAGCCGCCGCGGUAACACCGGCAGCUCUAGUGGUAGCAACUUUUAUUGGGCCUAAAGCGUCCGUAGCCGGUUUAAUAAGUCUCUGGUGAAAUCCUGUAGCUUAACUGUGGGAAUUGCUGGAGAUACUAUUAGACUUGAGACCGGGAGAGGUUAGAGGUACUCCCAGGGUAGAGGUGAAAUUCUGUAAUCCUGGGAGGACCGCCUGUUGCGAAGGCGUCUAACUGGAACGGUUCUGACGGUGAGGGACGAAAGUUAGGGGCGCGAACCGGAUUAGAUACCCGGGUAGUCCUAACUGUAAACGAUGCGGACUUGGUGUUGGGGUGGCUUUG
This 686-nucleotide ribosomal RNA is filed under the name uncultured archaeon. RNAcentral's name for it is "bacterial SSU rRNA". It matches the Rfam family "Archaeal small subunit ribosomal RNA", at positions 102 to 787 of the family's 1478-position model. The record is from RNAcentral.